UACGGAGGGUGCAAGCGUUAAUCGGAAUUACUGGGCGUAAAGCGUACGUAGGCGGCUUGUUAAGCAAGAUGUGAAAUCCCCGGGCUCAACCUGGGAAUGGCAUUUUGAACUGGCAGGCUCGAGUUCUGAAGAGGGAGGUAGAAUUUCCAGUGUAGCGGUGAAAUGCGUAGAUAUUGGAAGGAAUACCGGUGGCGAAGGCGGCCACCUGGUCAGAAACUGACGCUGAGGUACGAAAGCGUGGGGAGCAAACAGG
RNAcentral lists this ribosomal RNA (253 nucleotides) under uncultured microorganism. RNAcentral describes it as "partial 16S ribosomal RNA". It matches the Rfam family "Bacterial small subunit ribosomal RNA", at positions 524 to 776 of the family's 1533-position model. The record is from RNAcentral.